AUGAGUUCGCGUGUCAUAGGUUCGCCAUCGCUGGCCUAGAUGGUCCCCAGAACACGGUCUGUAAGGCCCGCUGCUCGUCCCUGGUGCAGUAAGACCACAUCCAGCUCCUGUUCCUUCUGCACACCGCGUGUCCACCUGCUGCCCUUGAGGUGGUCGGCUCGUCAGCACCCGGGAUGAGGAACUGCCGUGAGCAUGAGCCUCACCCCGCGCUUUCCUCUUUGUUCCACAAGCCACACCCUUCACGGAACUUUCUCGUGGACGGUUUCCUUUGCCUAGAAAUCUCUCCCCCGAGGGUCACACAACUGCCGCCCUCCCUGCCUUCAGGCCUGAGAUCCGGGGGCGCCUUCUCCAGGAGGCCUGUCUGACCACAGAUCCCAAAGCCCCGCAGUGGCAUGUCCGGGUGUUCUCUCCCUCUUCCUCUUCAGCGGGUGGUGCUCUGUGUUAGGAAAACUGCAGUCCCGGGGUUUGGUGAGAAUACAUUUUUAAAAAACGAUUGGUAAGCUUAUAUUUUGUCAUUGUUCAGUUGCUGCCAUCUGCCGUAAAGUUAAUGAAGAAGGAAUCUCGUUGGUGUGAAGUAAGCUGAAGGCGUGCACCACACUCCCUGUCUUGAUCUAAUUUUAGCCGCAUGAUGAAUGGCCCAGGGAUGUGUUCCGCUGCCCUCCGCGGAGAGGAAUAUACAUCAGACCUGCUCAGAUGUGAAAAUGGAGGCUCAGAGAGAUGAAACCGCCUGCUCAAGUUCUGGGACAUGGCCCGAAUUCGUAAGACCUGCUGAGCGGUUCUCCACUUCCCAGUCCCCGACACGGGGACGGCAGCGGCGUAGGUUGAGAUGGAGCCACUGGCAGCCUGGGUUCCUAAAUGACCAGGCUGAGCAGAGCUCCCCUGCACCCCAAGUGGACACACAAAAUGGAACCUUAGAAGCAAAAUACUUGAAGAGAUGCCGGCGGAGGUAGGCACUGCUCCCAGCGAGAGGGAAAAGGUGGGCUCUGACCCCAGCGGACUGACUGUAAAAAGAAAGCAGACAAGGAACUGAAAAGGCGUGAAGGUCGCCGGCCGGCCGUCUCUGGCAGAAAUAUUUGCGGGCCAUCCCCGAGUCCCUUCCUGGGUUCUUUACAAGUUGUUUCCGUAUGGGACGGACAGCUGCUGACUCCGGGGUCUUCGCCGGGAAUGAAAGAGCGAGGACCAGGAGGCUGGAACUCAGAGGCGGUGGCGGAGGCCUUUCCUUCCAGGAUGACGGCAUCGCGCUCCUCACGGGGGCUCUGCUCGCCUGCCCUGGACACCCACGGUCCCCCGCAUCCCCCACGCAAGAUUUCCCUGGAAAUGUGAUGUUUGUCUUUGCUUUGGGAUGACCAUCCCGCAGGCAGAUGAACACAUCUGUCCGAGAACUGGAGCCCUGCUACUGCAAAGUGGCGCUGGCCAUGGCAGUUCCCAGGAGGGGCCCCGAGGACACAGGUCCCUGUCCCCGGGCUGGGCUCUGGGCCCCCACCACGGCGGGUUCAGAUGUGCCAGGAGGGGACUCGGGGGGCGGGGGCCACGCUUACUAUCAGGCUGCCUCUGACAAUGCCUAAUGUAAUCCAUACACUACACAUACAUUCUAGUUACACAAUUUAUGAGGUAUAACAAGGGGAGAGAAGUGAAGCGGGCUUAUAAUUGUGACUGAUGUGAAACAGACAUGUAGAAUGAAUGGCCUUACAACAUUUUCUUUGAAGUUGGUUAAAAGCAGUAAAGUGAUCUUCGCCGUAAGUGAAACCUGCUGUUGCGGGUACCCACUGGCGUGGGGGACGUUUUUCCUGUGGACUCUGUUUCUUGAAUGUUAAUCCGCCACUCGGACGUUUUGAAAACGUUUCUUUCGCUGCGCGGUGGGAGAGAGAGAGAGAGAGGCUGCACACUGUGGAACGCCUACUACGCGCCCAUCCCGUGUCAAGCGCGUGGCCCAGGGAGCCCCAGUGGGUGCAGCGCUAGCGCCCACGGGAAUGUUUUCAUUUGAAUUUCUUGGAAAGCCAGAAGAAAAUAAUGAAUAUACUGAUACGAUACCAUAUUAAUUAAUUCCCAUAAUAAAAUUAGAAUAAUGAUAAUGAACAUAACAAGGAAUCCAGUCUGGACUGUGUUUGCCCUCUGCUAAUUUUUUUUUUUUAUGGGAAAAGGGCCCACGAGGCAGAGGGCUGAGGGCCCGCAGACCUCACAUUGUGGCCCUGGUUGAUAGACACCAUCUCACUGGUUCUCCCGAGCGACUGUGAAAGGCAGGAAGGCACGGGGAGAGCGAUGCCUCAGAGACUUCAGGAAUUUUCCGAAGGUCCUACAACUGGGACGAGGGAGAGCCAGGUUCUGAAGGCGAUGGUCUGACUCCUCCCACGGGAGAAGAGCUUCAUGUUCAGGCGGUUCUAUAUGGGAACGCCUGCCUGCGGCCGGGCAGAACGCCAUCUGGACAUUUGUUACCAAAGAAAUGAAUGGAAGUCCAUUCUGCGGUGGCCAUGUGUUUAUCCCAAGACUAUAGGAAGAUGUCUAGAAAGGUACGCCACUCAGAUGUCCCCAAGUUUACCUGCUUCAAGGUCAGGAUUGUCUUUAACAUUCACGUAACCCAGGCCUGAUCCUUGGAGCCAUCGUCUUCCCUCUCUUCCUCCUGGGGUCUCUGUGUUCCCCUAACCAGUCCUGGUUCACACUGACAGUCUCCGCUAAUAACCUCUCAGCCGGUUAUGAAGGUCACUUUUUGGGCAGGUUGCCACAGCUUUCUCCUCCCAGGGAUGCACCCCCCCCCCGCCCCCUCCCCCGUUCCCCAAAGCACAGCUAAGACUCAGCUGGGACUCCCACCAGGUUUUCCUGAAGUCUUGGGGGGUAUCAGUACCACAACACAAAGGGCAACCUAUGGCUGAUACCUGGGCUGACCAAGUGUCUCAGUCAGCCAAGACUAAGGGGCCCCGGCUGGGAAUUGAGCUUUUUUUUCUCAUCAACAGUGUUACUUGAGGACCUGCUGUAUAAUAAAUACCAUUGGACUGUAUACUUAAAAAGCACAAAUUUUCUCAUGUGAAUUAUAUUUCAAUAAAAACUAU
Myotis lucifugus (little brown bat) is the source of this 3044-nucleotide long non-coding RNA. RefSeq lists it as uncharacterized. The transcript has 7 exons. Lineage: Eukaryota; Metazoa; Chordata; Mammalia; Chiroptera; Vespertilionidae. The record is from RefSeq and is a predicted model, not a curated record.